RNAcentral lists this long non-coding RNA (2615 nucleotides) under Sus scrofa (pig). RNAcentral describes it as "lncRNA (ENSSSCG00045023199.1)". The record is from RNAcentral. Lineage: Eukaryota; Metazoa; Chordata; Mammalia; Artiodactyla; Suidae.
ACCUACAAAACAGAAACAGAUCAUGGACAUGGAGAACAGACUUGUGUUUCCCAGGGGGGUUAGGGGAGGGAGUGGGAUGGAUUGGGAGUUUUGGGGUUAGUAGAUGAAAACUGUUGUAUUUAGAGUGGAUGGGCAAUGGGAUCCUGCUGUGUAGCCCAGGGGACUCUAUCCAAUCACUGGUGAUGGAUCAGGAUGAAGGAUAAUGUGAGAAAAAGAAUGUAUGUAUGUGUACAACAGGAAUACUUUGCUGUGCAGCAGAAACUGGCAGAAUAUUGUAAAUCAAUUAUAAUAAAAAAUAAAAGCCUUUUAGGUAAUUUAUCGAGCAGCUAGAGUCAAGAAUGACUGAUCUAAAUGCUGAAGAGAUGCCCUUUCAGCCUCUAUCCAAGACCUCUCUUCUGGCUCCACUGAAUCUACUUGGCAUUUUCACUUGAUUGCCCUAGGAAUUUUAACAUGUCCAGUCCCGAAAGCUUGAUUUCUCAACUCCUCUCCUCUGUUUGUACAUUUCUCCCAUAAUCUUCAUCAUUUUAGCAAAUAGCAUCAUUUUUCUUCCCGCUGCUCAAGCCAAAGACCUGGGAGUUGCCUUCGAUCCCAUCCCUUUUCCUUAUCAUUUUUUUUUUUUCAAUCCAUCAGUAGAUGCUGGCGACCCUACCUCCAAAAUUCACCCAGACCUCCCUUUUAUCUUGCCACUGUCUGAGCUAAAGUCACCACCAUUAUCUCUUUCCUGGAUUACUUCCUGCAGUGAUUCACCCCAACCCCCUGCUCCCGUCUUCAUCCUUGCUCCUCUCCUGAGCACUGUCUACAGAGUGGCCAGAGAUACCAUCCAAUCUGAAAUGAAGUCAGGUCAUUUCAUCUCCCCUCAAUGGUUUCCCAAGGAUAACACACAUUGUUCUGCCUUUUCAGGGUCCCGCAUCUCUCUCCAGACUCUCUUCUGUCCGUUCUCCCAUCUCACUCAUUUUGCUUCAGCUGCACUGGACUUUUUCUCAUUCCCAGAACACGUUCAAACCCAUCUCCCCACAUCAGAGCCCUUUGCUAUUUUUUUUGCUUGGAUCAUUCUUGCAUCGGUUUUUAUAGACUCCUUACUCUUCAUGUCUCAGCACGUCAAAUAUCACCUUGCUGAUUAUCCUUAUUUACGGCCAAUCUCCCAUAUUCUUUAUUUCAUUUAUUAUUGUCUUGCUUGAUGACUUUUUUCCCCCUCCUUCAACUGAUUAGAUUACAAACUCUGUGAGGGCAGGGACCAUGGUUCUCUUGCCAGAUUUAGCAAAACAUACAACACAAAAGACUAAACAGGAAUGAUGUUAAACUUAUAUAUCAAUUUGGGGAGAGUUGACGUCUUUAGUACAGUCUUCUAAUUCAUGAACAUGGUGCAUCUGUUUAGUUAGAUGUGUGAUCUCGUAAUGUUUGGCACAUACUUCUUGUGUGCAUUUUGUCAGACUUACACCUAACCAUUUCAUCUAUUUUAGCAAUUGGAAAUGGUAUUUUUAAUUUUUGUGUCCAUGUGUUUAGUGUUAAUGUAUAGAAAUGCAGUUGAUUUUGUAUGUUUAUCUUAUAUCCCAGCACUUUGCUGAACUCAUUUGUUCUGUUUGUAUUUUGUAGAUUCCUUGGAAUUUCUGUGUAGAAUAGCAUGUCAUCUGCAAAUAUGGUGCACUUUAUUUCUCUCUUUUUUAAAAUCAGUAUGCUCUUUCUUUUCUUUUCUUUUCCUUUCUCACUUUAUUGUACUUCCAGAACUAUGUUAAAUACAGUGAUGAGAAUGGAUGUCCCUUCCUGGUUCACAACUAGUCCAUCCUCCCCCGCCCCAUUUUUUUAUUGGAGUGUGGUUGAUUUACAGUGUUGUGUCACUGCCUUCUGUACAGAAUAGUGACCCAAUCAUACAUAUAUACACAUUCUUUUUCUCAUACCAUCUUCCAUGAUGUUCCAUCCCAAGAGACCGGGACAUAUAGUUCACGUUUUUAAACACAAAUUUGCAUGAUGCCAUGGUGAAGGAGAGCUUGGGUGUUAAUCUAACCCAUAGUCACACAGAUCCUGCAUACUAUCUACGUGAUCUUAGAAAAUGGCUUUGUCUCUCCCCAUGUUUUCUCAUCUCUGGAAUUUGAGAUAAUAAAUCUAUGCCACAGGUUUGUUAGAAAGCAGGCAAAAGGCAGAGAUUACAGGCUAGCUUUCCUAGGCUCAGAUUCCAGCACAAACACUCUCAGCUCUGUGACCUCAGACAAUGUUUCCUCUGUACCUCAAUUUCCUCUUCUGUUAAACAGGCAGACUUAUGAUUAACCACUUCAUCAAGUUGUUGCAGAGACGGAAUGAGGUGAUAAAUGUAAAGCACUUCCUAUCUGGCAGUGAGCAAUAGAGAAGCGUUUGUUGUUUUUGUGACGUUUAUGUGAAAUAAUGUGCGUAUAACACUUAGCAGAAGGCAGAUGCUUGGUAAAACUUCCUGACUCUAAGUCCCGUGCUAACUAAAAAUAACUAGAUUGCAUGGAGAGCUUGUAGUGAGAAACAACAGUCUCUCCUUUCCUGGUCUCUGGAGGCAGCCAUUUUUACCUCGUUUGAGUUGUUUUCCAAACGAUAGGCUACUUUUUGCACUGCUUGAGGUAUCCGCUUGAGAUUUUAUCUAUUUACAUCCUGAA